Molecule: non-coding RNA, 20 nt
Filed under: Arabidopsis thaliana (thale cress)
Lineage: Eukaryota; Viridiplantae; Streptophyta; Magnoliopsida; Brassicales; Brassicaceae
Source: RNAcentral
UGGAGAUGAUUGAUUCUGCA